ACCGGAACAAUUUCAUAGGUAAGCCCUUAAAUGUUCUCAGCCACUCUUUUCCCCCAAUUUUCGAAAUAUAGGAAGAGAAGUUGAAUUUCUUUGAUUUCUGAAGUUUUAGGAUCCAAUUAGCUUGAGAAAAACGUUCACUCUUGCUUAUGUGAAGUUUGGGUAAGGUUGUGAAUAAAUAAUUGGAGCUUGAAAUUGUGAAUACUGGAACUUGGAGGAAGCAUAUUAGUUGAGGUUUUGAGGGCUGUGUUCUUUUAGAAAAAUUGUCUUGGAAUAAUACUUGGGAAUCGGCUAAGGUAUGGUUUAGGUUUCUUGCAUUUAAUAUAUAAUGUUCUGUGAAAACUUAGGCUAGAUGACCAUAGGAUAAGUUGGAAUGCAGGUGUAUGUUUAAUGUUUAGUAAUUUGUCGAUGAAUAUAUUUGGUUGAAGUUUAUUGGAUAAUUAGUUAUUAAUUUUGGAUGGUGAAUGUUGUUAUGUUAAUUUGGAGAGAAUCAUGGUUGAAUGUUAUUGUUGAUGAACAUAGUUGGUUAGGUACUUGUUGAUUAACUAAUAAUUUGGUGAAUUAUUGAUUUGAGGUAUUUUGUAUUAGAAGCCUAGGAUUAGUGAACUAUGAUCCUUAGUUGAAUUUUGGUUGUUAGAUUUGAAUAUUGUAUGAGUAUAAUUGUUGAUCUGAGGUAGAUUUAUUGUGGUGACUGUUAUGAUGAUGAGGAAGGGUAUGUUGAAUUGAAAAGAAUGCAGGUUUGGACCCAAAAAGGGUGGCAAAGUCCGAGUUUUAGAGGAGAUGCUGCCGAAAUUUUAUAAAAAUUAGAGAUUUUGUUUAUAUGAUUAUUUAAAAAGAUUUAGAUUCCAAAGGUUAUAUGGUUUGAUUUAGAGUUAUUAAGAAAAUGAGCAUGCUUUAAGUGUGAUUCAUUUAAAAAAGAAUGAAUUAUGUUUUGAAUUCGAACUACUGAUGGACGAAAUGGGAGGUGUGAUAAUAAAGGAUAAUAAUUGAAUAUGAUUGAUGUAUGAUGAUGAAUGAGAUGCGAUUGAGAAUGAUGUGAAUGUUGAUGAAUUAUAAUUGAAUUAUUUGUAUGGCUUGAAUAAUUUAAUGAUCUGAGAUACGAGGUUCCCUGGAUUAAGUGCCGUGGCUUGCCACCACGUGUACCAGGUUGAAAACUCGAUACUCUGUUGACCCUACGACGUAAGUGUGACCGGGCACUAUAUAAAUUUUCGGGAAUGUUACCCCCAUUGAGCAAUAUUGAUUAUUUGAGAAAAAGCUAUGCAUAGACUCUUGGGGAUGCACGUCGGGCGACAGUCUAAGGACAAUUCAGACUUAUCGGGUUGGCUGGAUAACCGACAGAUGAGCCUCAUCAGCCAUAGGACAGGCAUGCAUCAUAUGCAUAUUACUUGAAUUACUUGCUUGUGCUUUAAUUGGGUGUGCCUACAUGUACUUGUCAUGUUAAAUGUGUAUUUGUUACUUGCAGUAUUUGUAACCUUCUUCUGCUUACUUUUAUCUGUCUAUUUGUCUGUGCAAAUGCAUGAUAGAGUUGGAGGUAUGGAGGAAUGACAGUAUGGAACUUAGAUUUAAGGUUAAGUUAAGUUAGGUUUAAAUAUUCUUAGAAAAUCACCUCUUAUGGCUUCCGUUUAAUACUUUAAGCUCUAUAAUCUGAGUGUCGGUGUUCUAGGAUUGCCUCUGGCAUUUUCAGGAUCUUAUAUAUUAUGUGUGUGACACCUUUACCAUACUGAGAACAUCCGGUUCUCAUUCCAUACUAUAUUGUUGUUUUUUAGAUUCAGGUCGAGAGGCAUCUCGUUAGGCGUCUGGACUCUUGAAGCGGAGUGGUUAUUGGGCUACUUUUUUAUGCUAUGAUGUAUAUAUAUGUAUAUAUGUACUUGGCUUUCUCUCUGCAUAACUUGUUCUUUUUUAUCCUCUUAGAGGUUUAUGGAGAGAUAAGAUUGUGUAUAUGUACUUUUGGAUUUUGGAUAUGUAUGUAUAUAUGUGUAAAUAUUCUCCGACCAGACUUGACUUCGCAGGCUGAGUUAGGAGCUUGUUAUUUUGUAUCCUUGGCACUCUAUUCCUACUUC
Long non-coding RNA from Arachis duranensis, 2057 nucleotides. RefSeq lists it as uncharacterized. The transcript is spliced from 2 exons. The record is from RefSeq and is a predicted model, not a curated record. NCBI's taxonomy places the organism in Eukaryota, Viridiplantae, Streptophyta, Magnoliopsida, Fabales, Fabaceae.